This 552-nucleotide ribosomal RNA is filed under the name Colletotrichum sp. 2 ONH-2014. Its description in RNAcentral is "eukaryotic LSU rRNA". The stretch from base 192 to 345 matches the Rfam family "5.8S ribosomal RNA". The record is from RNAcentral. Lineage: Eukaryota; Fungi; Ascomycota; Sordariomycetes; Glomerellales; Glomerellaceae.
GCCUGCGGAGGGAUCAUUACUGAGUUUACGCUCUACAACCCUUUGUGAACAUACCUAUAACUGUUGCUUCGGCGGGUAGGGUCUCCGUGACCCUCCCGGCCUCCCGCCCCCGGGCGGGUCGGCGCCCGCCGGAGGAUAACCAAACUCUGAUUUAACGACGUUUCUUCUGAGUGGUACAAGCAAAUAAUCAAAACUUUUAACAACGGAUCUCUUGGUUCUGGCAUCGAUGAAGAACGCAGCGAAAUGCGAUAAGUAAUGUGAAUUGCAGAAUUCAGUGAAUCAUCGAAUCUUUGAACGCACAUUGCGCCCGCCAGCAUUCUGGCGGGCAUGCCUGUUCGAGCGUCAUUUCAACCCUCAAGCUCUGCUUGGUGUUGGGGCCCUACAGCUGAUGUAGGCCCUCAAAGGUAGUGGCGGACCCUCCCGGAGCCUCCUUUGCGUAGUAACUUUACGUCUCGCACUGGGAUCCGGAGGGACUCUUGCCGUAAAACCCCCAAUUCUCCAAAGGUUGACCUCGGAUCAGGUAGGAAUACCCGCUGAACUUAAGCAUAUCAA